This 1715-nucleotide long non-coding RNA is filed under the name Anas platyrhynchos platyrhynchos (common mallard). RNAcentral describes it as "lncRNA (ENSAPLG00000024056.1)". The record is from RNAcentral. Lineage: Eukaryota; Metazoa; Chordata; Aves; Anseriformes; Anatidae.
AGAGGGGAACGGCAGCAAGGGGCUGCUGGCCAGCUGCAUCCCCCCGUGCCUCUGCCUUCCCCUGUGUGUCAGGGCCAUGCGUGGGGGUCCCCUUGGGACCUGGUGGGGGGGCAUGGGACAGCACACAGCACAUCACCACAUCCUUCUGUCUCUCUGUCCCUCUGCAGCCAGAGCCGAAGGAGGAGAGGCACAAAGCUGCGGCAGGAGGCACAAAAGGGACUAAAACCCAGGCGAAGGUGAAAGGGAACGUUUCAGCUGCCCCGAGCAUCCCGGGAACAGUGGAGCCAGUAGCUGCUGAGGGGCAGCCAGAGCCUGUGGCCACCGUCCUCCCUCGUCCCCUGGCUGGGGACAGCAGCAGCAUGUUUGGAUGGUUUGUCCAGGGGCUGGAGAAGGUGAUGCCACAGCCUGUGAGCAGGGAGAAGCAGGACACGCAGGGAGCAGCAGCGGCAGCCUUCAGCCCCGUGGAAGAAAGGGGCAAAGGGGCUUAGCGCCUCUGAAACAAACGGAAAACGAAGUCUGUGGAGGGCCAGCCUUUCCCCACCAAAUGAGACCACCUCGCAGAGAAAGCACAGCGGGGGAGGAGAAAAAGCAAAGAGCAAUCUGCAAACGGUCCCUAGCCCCUUGCCAGCCAGGCUGCGGGGUGCGGGAACCCGAGGCCGUGUGUCCCCGCUCCCUGCAGCUGCCGGCAGCAGGACCUGGCCCUGGCCAGCCCUGAGCACCAGGGGAAGGUCAGCAUAGCUGCUGGAUGGGAGCAAUAAUUCAUGUGAGGACAGACAAACGCCUCUCAGGGCAUCUCCGAGGCAGAAAACCUCUCGCUGCAGCCUCCCACAGCACACCCAGCUCCCUCAACUCCCCUCCCACCCCCCAGCACGCCAAUAUUUACCACCGAGAUCUCUGGCUGAAGCCUGCAGACUUCUUUAAAUCUAUUUCUGUCUCAGUGGCAUCACUUUAUAAAGCCCUUUAAGCUUCAUAUUGCUUUUCUCCCAUUAACUGAGUGUUUUCUCCCAGAGGGUGGAGAGGGCUCUGUUUGGCAGCAGCGGAUGCAGGAGAACAACCUCCAGGAACCAGGCAGGAGCCAAAGGCCUCCUGGUGUGGAGGAGGGUGUCAGCUCACCAUGAGCAGCCCCUGCUUGCCCCCAGAGCCCAUCCAGUGCCGCACCAAGCACGGCAGCAGUGUCCCAGCAGGGAACGGUGCCCAAGGGCUGCCUCCAGCUCUGGGCUGGGGGCUUGGGGAAUGCGGGCACGCCGGGCUGGGGAGGGCAGGAGCCCCUAAAUGCCAGGUGUUUGGCACAGACCUUCCCAUUGCAUCCCUAGGUAGCCUUAGUGGUGAGUGGUGAGCCAAGCAACCCCGCUGAGCCCCAGCCCCUGUGUUUAUGACGAGCCCAGCUGGUAUCAGGAUAGGAUCUUAGUAUUUGCCCUGUUUUCAUAUCGUGUAUUAAAAAGUUGCAGCACGUUUCAAAAGCUGUCUCCGUGGUUCCUGUCCUUUGUUACAAUAACUAUAGCUGCAGGGAGAGCAGGCUAAAGGCAGACGAACACUGCUGGGUGAGGAGCUGGUUUGGGAGGCAUGGUGCAGAGCAGACAAUGCAGUGGGCCUCCUGCCUUUCUGUAUUUAAGUCUGUCCAUUUCCUAUUAGCUUCCCUGGGGACGUGUAAGCUCCCCUGAGUUUUGCCAUCAGUCAGACCUCACAUUAAACUGGUUUGGAACUACGUGGAUGCA